This is a long non-coding RNA of Lineus longissimus, 1301 nucleotides long. RefSeq lists it as uncharacterized. NCBI's taxonomy places the organism in Eukaryota, Metazoa, Nemertea, Pilidiophora, Heteronemertea, Lineidae. The record is from RefSeq and is a predicted model, not a curated record. The transcript is spliced from 6 exons.
AAUUGCCACAGAAGAUUCCUGUAUCAUUGUUUGCUUGACGAUGGAUCCCACAAACCUUGUCAGCAACCUUGUCGGCAAUUGCAACCGAAGACUCUCAUAAUGAUCUACAAGAUGAAGGCUUUCAGUUGUCCAGGCCAGGCCAGGUGACCGAUGACAAUGAUAGAUCGGGUUCGAUUCAAGCUGUACGCUUGGUGUAUUUGGUUAUCGUGACUGGCGACUUGAGUCUAUCUCAUCUCAUUUCCAAAGCGCGGUGGCUGGGUCCCAGGCAUGCUUGCCACUUUGUUCCACGGUCCUCAUCUAAGUUUCGACGGUGAUGACAUGGACUUAGGUUCAAGGUACGUGUUCCCCUUGAGUCAUCGUGGUUGAUUGAUGGGGGCAAUAAGAGUUGCGUGUCGCUAGUCAUUCAAUUGGUCCCCUUGUUUUAGAGUGUUGGCGGGAUAAGUCUUACGACUGUUAACAAUAGUAAGCAAUAGCUGGCCAGCGAUCCCCUACCUGAUCUCGAGGGGGAUGGAAUGACUGGGGUUUAAGUCCUGUUGUUAACCUGCGGAAUUUCGUCGGACGAAAUGUCAGGCGUGUCCGUGUGGGACUUGUGCUAAACCAGUUUAGUACAUAUGACGAAGACAUUGGGCUCUUUGGAUAACAACAGUGUACUUGACCUCCUUGUGCUUCACAAAACUUAUAAAUAAACCCGCUGAAAUUGACAUGACGGAGUAGAAGAAGGAGAGCCGGCCUCAGCUUGUCAGCCGAGAAGAGCAGAGAAGACACUGGACCCCAAGAAUACAGUGUUGCAGCCAAACCAGAAGAACCAGCCAGAUGGAAGGGACAAAGGAUACAAGGGACACAGGAUACAACGGACACAGGAUACAAGGGAUACAAAUGACGACACUGCAACCCACAAGCCUUAUGCAGAUGACGGCUGUCAGGUAGACCCAACCACUCGACCACGCCAUGCAAGAUCAACUCUCGAAGAUCCAGGAAUCCACUGAGUGACAAACCGCAGGGUGACUGAGAGAUGUCGCAGAGAAGCCAACCACUCUCUGAUGGAGGUGUAAAGGAUAGAGGUUGCAAGCAUUGUCCUGCACUGAUGAGGGCAGUGGAUCGAGAGUCGAGUGGAUUCAGUGGAUCGAGAGUCGAGUGGAUUCAGUGGAUCGAAUGGUGGCACUGAGGGAUAUCGAAGGGGCAGGAGUGACAAACCACAGUCUUUACCGACCGAUUCAUGCAGAACUUUUGCUAAGAUCGGGAACAUUUGUGCUGUGUGUAUGGAGAGGACAAUUGAAACACUGUCCGAAACUCUAAUAGAC